AAAUUGAAGAGUUUGAUCAUGGCUCAGAUUGAACGCUGGCGGCAGGCCUAACACAUGCAAGUCGAACGGUAACAGGAAGCAGCUUGCUGUUUUGCUGACGAGUGGCGGACGGGUGAGUAAUGUCUGGGAAACUGCCUGAUGGAGGGGGAUAACUACUGGAAACGGUAGCUAAUACCGCAUAACGUCGCAAGACCAAAGAGGGGGACCUUCGGGCCUCUUGCCAUCGGAUGUGCCCAGAUGGGAUUAGCUAGUAGGUGGGGUAACGGCUCACCUAGGCGACGAUCCCUAGCUGGUCUGAGAGGAUGACCAGCCACACUGGAACUGAGACACGGUCCAG
This 337-nucleotide ribosomal RNA is filed under the name Escherichia coli. Its description in RNAcentral is "bacterial SSU rRNA". It matches the Rfam family "Bacterial small subunit ribosomal RNA", at positions 1 to 334 of the family's 1533-position model. Lineage: Bacteria; Pseudomonadati; Pseudomonadota; Gammaproteobacteria; Enterobacterales; Enterobacteriaceae. The record is from RNAcentral.